This 453-nucleotide ribosomal RNA is filed under the name uncultured bacterium. RNAcentral describes it as "bacterial SSU rRNA". It matches the Rfam family "Bacterial small subunit ribosomal RNA", at positions 29 to 524 of the family's 1533-position model. The record is from RNAcentral.
AGCGAACGCUGGCGGCAGGCUUAACACAUGCAAGUCGAGCGGGCGUAGCAAUACGUCAGCGGCAGACGGGUGAGUAACGCGUGGGAACAUACCUUUUGGUUCGGAACAACACAGGGAAACUUGUGCUAAUACCGGAUAAGCCCUUACGGGGAAAGAUUUAUCGCCGAAAGAUUGGCCCGCGUCUGAUUAGCUAGUUGGUGAGGUAACGGCUCACCAAGGCGACGAUCAGUAGCUGGUCUGAGAGGAUGAUCAGCCACAUUGGGACUGAGACACGGCCCAAACUCCUACGGGAGGCAGCAGUGGGGAAUAUUGGACAAUGGGCGCAAGCCUGAUCCAGCCAUGCCGCGUGAGUGAUGAAGGCCCUAGGGUUGUAAAGCUCUUUUGUGCGGGAAGAUAAUGACGGUACCGCAAGAAUAAGCCCCCGGCUAACUUCGUGCCAGCCGCCGCCGUAAG